UACGAAGGGGGCUAGCGUUGCUCGGAAUCAUUGGGCGUAAAGCGCACGUAGGCGGCUUCGCAAGUCGGAUGUGAAAUCCCAUGGCUCAACCAUGGACGUGCAUUCGAAACUGCGAAGCUUGAGUAUGGAAGAGGGUCGCGGAAUUCCCGGUGUAGAGGUGAAAUUCGUAGAUAUCGGGAGGAACACCAGUGGCGAAGGCGGCGACCUGGGCCAAUACUGACGCUGAGGUGCGAAAGCGUGGGGAGCAAACAGG
Molecule: ribosomal RNA, 253 nt
Filed under: uncultured bacterium
Lineage: Bacteria
Description: partial 16S ribosomal RNA
Rfam family: Bacterial small subunit ribosomal RNA
Source: RNAcentral